GGGAGAAAUUGAUGAUUGUAUGGGCAUGUGUAAACACUGGAUAUUUAUUACACCUGUAGAAGGGUGUGUGUGUGUGUGUGUGUGUGUGUGUGUGUGUGUGUGUGUGUGUGUGUGUGUGUGUGUGUGUGUGUGUGUGUG
This is a long non-coding RNA of Sander lucioperca (pikeperch), 138 nucleotides long. RefSeq lists it as uncharacterized. Lineage: Eukaryota; Metazoa; Chordata; Actinopteri; Perciformes; Percidae. The transcript is spliced from 3 exons. The record is from RefSeq and is a predicted model, not a curated record.